Small nucleolar RNA from Mastomys coucha (southern multimammate mouse), 141 nucleotides. RefSeq annotates it as small nucleolar RNA SNORA48. The record is from RefSeq and is a predicted model, not a curated record. The transcript has a single exon. NCBI's taxonomy places the organism in Eukaryota, Metazoa, Chordata, Mammalia, Rodentia, Muridae.
AAUCCCUGCAAUGGACAAAGAGACAUCUUGCUGAUGGUGUUGUAGUUACAUAAAUCGGGGGAGAGCAGAUGGCAGUCCUUUCUUCAUUCUAGCUUGAUGCCUAGUUUGCUGCUGAAGCUGUUUUAUACCUAGGAUGCAUGA